Non-coding RNA from Pocillopora verrucosa, 1291 nucleotides. The record is from RefSeq and is a predicted model, not a curated record. Lineage: Eukaryota; Metazoa; Cnidaria; Anthozoa; Scleractinia; Pocilloporidae.
UUUGUAUCUAUAUGAUAAGUUGAAUUUUACACACAUUUUGAUUGGUUCUUAUCUAUGGUUUAUUAGAGGACAGGGACAAAGAUGAUGCCACAAGUAACAAAAUUUUGCUUUUUUAUGAUAUAAAACAAUUAUGUUCAGUUCAGUGACAGAUCACAGGAGAUGUUAAAAUGUAUCAGGAACAACAGUGGUACAAUUGCCUGGGCCUCAUGUGUCACUCUUUUGUUCUUACCAGAUUUUGAGGACAUCUUUGAUCUGUUACUAGACAUCUCUAUUCUUGCAGUAUCAUCGUCAAAUACCUCUACCAGUCAUGCUGUUACCUAAAACAGUUAAUGUCUUGCUUUUUUUUCCCAUCAAAAUGAGUUGUCUUCCAAGUGCAGUUUUACUUCUAAGGGUAUUUAAGAAGUUCAGAUGAAAUAAAUAGGAUGGCCAUUUUCAAAUAAGAAUAAAAGAGUGGUACAGGGUAAAUUGUCAACAAAUGGAUUGCUACUUCAGGAGUAACAAAUGAAGCAGAUAUAUUUUUUCCAAUUCCAAUUAUACAGAAGGGAAUGUUCAUUUGACUUGCAGAAACUUAAAAAAGAAUAAAGUCAAGCCUGUAACCUGACUGUGUGACUGACAGAUCUUUGAAUUACAGUUUGCUGCCAGACAAAUUGCCUCCUUAUGUUUCCUUGACAGUCCUAACUCCUGACAGUUUAUCUGAAAUGUUUGUCGGUCUUGAGUGAUGGUUUUUGGUGUGUGACAACUUCAGCAUUCUGGUGAGCUGUUUCAAUCCAUGAAGUGCCAGAAGUAGACUAUUUUGGAGUCAUAUCCGACACAAACAAAGGAAGCCACGCCUUAAGUCACAGUUAGACUACAACUUCACACAACAAGGUCGUGUGCACUUCUAAGUACCAGUCACAAACAGAUGGACAAUGAUUUAUUUGAAGAUUGCAGUAGUGGAUGAAUUGCUUGUAUUGUCUUCAGGAAUUGAAGUUUCAAGCUGAUAUGUUGAUAUACUGAUUUCAGAUUGACGAGAAGGAAAGCAAGAGUCCUGAGAAAAAUAUCAACCAAGGAGAGAAUGCAAAAUUUGGGGUCGAUCUGCCACCUAACCCCUUCUACACCCGUCUCUUAUAGAAAUUUUUAAGUAUUUGUAAAAUACAUGUGUACGUUGUGGUAACAACAUCUUGUAAUACGCAUGUGUCUAAAGACACACAUUUGGUUACACAAAAAGCAUGACUUUGAAAUAAAUGUUAGUACCACAAGGUUGACUAGGUUUAGAAUGACUUAAGAAAACCGUUUGCCAGAGGUGGGUGCG